AGAGUUUGAUCCUGGCUCAGGACGAACGCUGGCGGCGUGCCUAAUACAUGCAAGUCGAACGCUUCUUUUUCCACCGGAGCUUGCUCCACCGGAAAAAGAAGAGUGGCGAACGGGUGAGUAACACGUGGGUAACCUGCCCAUCAGAAGGGGAUAACACUUGGAAACAGGUGCUAAUACCGUAUAACAAUCGAAACCGCAUGGUUUUGAUUUGAAAGGCGCUUUCGGGUGUCGCUGAUGGAUGGACCCGCGGUGCAUUAGCUAGUUGGUGAGGUAACGGCUCACCAAGGCGACGAUGCAUAGCCGACCUGAGAGGGUGAUCGGCCACAUUGGGACUGAGACACGGCCCAAACUCCUACGGGAGGCAGCAGUAGGGAAUCUUCGGCAAUGGACGAAAGUCUGACCGAGCAACGCCGCGUGAGUGAAGAAGGUUUUCGGAUCGUAAAACUCUGUUGUUAGAGAAGAACAAGGAUGAGAGUAACUGUUCAUCCCUUGACGGUAUCUAACCAGAAAGCCACGGCUAACUACGUGCCAGCAGCCGCGGUAAUACGUAGGUGGCAAGCGUUGUCCGGAUUUAUUGGGCGUAAAGCGAGCGCAGGCGGUUUCUUAAGUCUGAUGUGAAAGCCCCCGGCUCAACCGGGGAGGGUCAUUGGAAACUGGGAGACUUGAGUGCAGAAGAGGAGAGUGGAAUUCCAUGUGUAGCGGUGAAAUGCGUAGAUAUAUGGAGGAACACCAGUGGCGAAGGCGGCUCUCUGGUCUGUAACUGACGCUGAGGCUCGAAAGCGUGGGGAGCAAACAGGAUUAGAUACCCUGGUAGUCCACGCCGUAAACGAUGAGUGCUAAGUGUUGGAGGGUUUCCGCCCUUCAGUGCUGCAGCUAACGCAUUAAGCACUCCGCCUGGGGAGUACGACCGCAAGGUUGAAACUCAAAGGAAUUGACGGGGGCCCGCACAAGCGGUGGAGCAUGUGGUUUAAUUCGAAGCAACGCGAAGAACCUUACCAGGUCUUGACAUCCUUUGACCACUCUAGAGAUAGAGCUUCCCCUUCGGGGGCAAAGUGACAGGUGGUGCAUGGUUGUCGUCAGCUCGUGUCGUGAGAUGUUGGGUUAAGUCCCGCAACGAGCGCAACCCUUAUUGUUAGUUGCCAUCAUUUAGUUGGGCACUCUAGCAAGACUGCCGGUGACAAACCGGAGGAAGGUGGGGAUGACGUCAAAUCAUCAUGCCCCUUAUGACCUGGGCUACACACGUGCUACAAUGGGAAGUACAACGAGUCGCAAAGUCGCGAGGCUAAGCUAAUCUCUUAAAGCUUCUCUCAGUUCGGAUUGUAGGCUGCAACUCGCCUACAUGAAGCCGGAAUCGCUAGUAAUCGCGGAUCAGCACGCCGCGGUGAAUACGUUCCCGGGCCUUGUACACACCGCCCGUCACACCACGAGAGUUUGUAACACCCGAAGUCGGUGAGGUAACCUUUUGGAGCCAGCCGCCUAAGGUGGGAUAGAUGAUUGGGGUGAAGUCGUAACAAGGUAGCCGUAUCGGAAGGUGCGGCUGGAUCACCU
RNAcentral lists this ribosomal RNA (1548 nucleotides) under Enterococcus hirae. Its description in RNAcentral is "bacterial SSU rRNA". It matches the Rfam family "Bacterial small subunit ribosomal RNA". The record is from RNAcentral. Lineage: Bacteria; Bacillati; Bacillota; Bacilli; Lactobacillales; Enterococcaceae.